RNAcentral lists this transfer RNA (69 nucleotides) under Ictidomys tridecemlineatus (thirteen-lined ground squirrel). Its description in RNAcentral is "Spermophilus tridecemlineatus (thirteen-lined ground squirrel) tRNA". It matches the Rfam family "tRNA". From Rfam's summary of the family: Transfer RNA (tRNA) molecules are approximately 80 nucleotides in length. Their secondary structure includes four short double-helical elements and three loops (D, anti-codon, and T loops). Further hydrogen bonds mediate the characteristic L-shaped molecular structure. tRNAs have two regions of fundamental functional importance: the anti-codon, which is responsible for specific mRNA codon recognition, and the 3' end, to which the tRNAs corresponding amino acid is attached (by aminoacyl-tRNA synthetases). tRNAs cope with the degeneracy of the genetic code in two manners: having more than one tRNA (with a specific anti-codon) for a particular amino acid; and 'wobble' base-pairing, i.e. permitting non-standard base-pairing at the 3rd anti-codon position. Lineage: Eukaryota; Metazoa; Chordata; Mammalia; Rodentia; Sciuridae. The record is from Rfam by way of RNAcentral.
GGGGUUGUGGCUCAGUGGUAGAGCGCUCACCUAGCAUGUGCGAAGCACUGAGCUCAAUCCUCAGCACCA